AUAUGUAAGUAUAGUAAAUUAUAAAUAUAUUUUUUAAAAAAUUUAAUUUUUAUAUAUUGUUUCUACGAAAAAUCUAAUAUUUUUAAAUAUGUCUUUCUAGUUUACUAGCGUUAAAAUACUGUCUAUUUAUAAAUAAAAUGCCUUUUUGCCAUCAUAAAUAUGUCCCUCUAAAAGUCCGAACUGUUAAUUGAAUACGGUAGAAAGAUCAAUUCACCUCGUUAACUAACUAGGGUUAAGUAUUUAACUUAUAAUUAACUAAAUUUUUCUAAUGGAGGGACACAUUUGAAAACAUCAGAAUUUUCAUAGGAACAAUAUAUGAAAGUUGAACUUGAUAUUGAUAUAUUUGUAAUUCACUAUAUUUGUAGGAUCUUUUUGAAAUUAAUCCUAUUAAAUUUAUAAUUGCGGAUCAUAAAUACUCGUUGAGAUGUGAGUAUUUUGAGUAAUCCAUGGACACCCACAAAUAUAUAUAUAUUUCGAAAUUUAUUUUCUAAAAGUUUUCUAUAAUCUAGAUCAUAUUUAACGGAGUGGAUCGUUGAUUCGGAAGCUCCAUCAUUGAAAACAACUUAUGAGUACGAGGGCUCCAAUACUCAUAAUAGUAUAGUAGCCAUGGCCUAUAUAUAUAUAUAUAGUUCGGCUGGAAUACUAUCGAUAGCACCAAGAAUUUGGUGCUAUCGAAUUUUUCAUCGUUAGAUUUAACCAUUUGAUUAUUUUUACCCGUUAGAUUAUACUAUUCAACAAACCACUCACUCAAUCUUAGGGGACCCACAUGAUUCUAACCACACAUUUCUCAAUUCAAGGGUUAAAAAACUAAUAGCACCAAUAACUUUGUACUAUUAAUAGUGUUCCAGUCUAGUUCUAUAUAUAUAUAUAUAUAUAUAUAUAUAUAGAGAGAGAGAGAGAGAGAGAGAGAGAGAGAGAGAGAGAGAGAGGAGCUAGAAUACUAUCAAUAGUAAAUGGGCUCCGUUGCCAUCUAUUUGUUUUCGAUGAUAGAGCCUCCAAAUCGAUGAUCGGUACCGUUGAAUAUGAUCUAUACCCCUUGAAGUGUUUAGAAAUAAAAGCUCAAAUCAUUUCGACAUCAUUUGCCUAAUGAUCAAUGAGUUUCAAAAUUUUUAAUUUUAAUGGUCGAUAUGAGGCGUUUUCUUGUUUAACGGCGUAAAGAUAUUCAAAUCAAUUGAAUUUUUGUUAGAAAAAAUUUUAAACUAUUUAAAACAAGAUCUAUAUUCUUCAUCUUGAUUACAAGACUCCUAUUAUCAUUUUUUAAAGAAUAUUCAUUUUCAGCCCUUUAUUUUUGUGUCCACUCGAUGGAUAAGAAACAAUAUCGAAACUAUAUGAAAUUUGAUUUCUAAACACUUCAGGUAGUAUAGAUUAUGUUCAAUAGUGCCGAUAGUUAAUUUGGAAGCUCCAUCAUCGAAAACAAAUGGAUGGCAACGGAGCCCGUUUGCUAUCGAUAGUAUUCUAGCUCAACUAUAUAUAUAUAGUCCGCUACUCUUAUGAGUACGAUCGCCUUUGUACUCAUAAGUCGUUUUCGAUGAUAUAGCUUCCGAAUCGACGAUCCAUACCGUUAAAUAUUUUCUAGAGCAUUUAAAACUUCUAGAAAUCAAAUUUCAUAAUUUGUCGACAUCAUUUACCUUACGACCAAAAGCUCACAAAAUUGACAAUUUUUAACGACCGGUAUGGAAUACUUACUAGUUUAACGGUGCAAAAGAAUCAGAAUAGGUUGAAUUUUUGAUAGAAAAUUCUAUUCGCUACCUAAAUAAAGAUCACUAACUCCGAUCUUAAAUUGAAGGAUCCGAUCAUCCAUUUUUAAGACGUCGUUCGAUUUUGACCGUUCAUUUUAUGCCCGCUUAAUGGACUUUAUUAUGAUUUCGAAAAAUUACGAAAUUUAUUUGCUAGAAGUUUCAAAUACUCUAGAUCAUAUUUAAUGGAGUAGAUCGUCGAUUCGGAAGCUCCAUCAUCGAAAACAACUUAUAAGUACGAAGGGUCCAAUACUCAUAAGAGUAUAGUAGCUCUACUAUAUAUA
This 2020-nucleotide long non-coding RNA is filed under the name Ananas comosus (pineapple). Its description in RNAcentral is "long non-coding RNA (ACOM_LNC003004)". Lineage: Eukaryota; Viridiplantae; Streptophyta; Magnoliopsida; Poales; Bromeliaceae. The record is from RNAcentral.